UUUUUUUUUUUUUUUUUGCCUUGGCCCUUCCCUCUAAAGGCGUUGUGACAUAUUUCUGAACUCAGCACCAAGGUGAUGUCCAUCUCUUGCUUGAAUCCCGCCCACGAGAAACACUCUGACUUGCCUCUGGGCCCAUCAACAAUUUAAUGUAACUGGGUGAAUCACUUGAGGUCAAGAGUUCGGGACCAUCCUAGCCAACAUAGUGAAACCCCGUCUCUACUAAAAAUACAAAAAUUAGCCAGGCCUGGUGACUCAUGCCUAUAAUCCCAGCUACUCAGGAGGCUGAGGCACGAGAAUCGCUUGAACCCAGGAGGCGGAGUUUGCAGUGAACUGAGAUCACACCACUGCACCCCAGCCUGGGUGAAAGAGCGAGACUCCAUCUCAAAAAAAAAAAAAAAAAGAAAAGAAAAAAGGAAAAGAAAAAAGAAAAUUAGCACUCUCUUGUAUAUGGUAUAAAGCAGUUGGGUGGUUCAGAGAGUGCCUUCGUAUGGCCGAGCACACAGGUAAUAUGGUGUUUCUCAUAUGCACAUCCUGUGAAACAUUAGGAUUUUUACCCUUAUACAUGAAUAGAGCCGAUUGGUGAGGAUAUAAAUUUUACAUGCAGACAGCCCACAGUUGUAAUUGUGACUGUCAUAUGUGAACAUCUUGUCACAAUUAAGAUGGUGAUAUAUUUCUUUUUCUUUUUUUUCUUUUUUCUUUUUUUUUGAAAUGGAGCCUCGCUCUGUCACCCAAGCUAGGGUGCAGCGGCACAAUCUCGGUCUAUGGUAACCUCUGCCUCCCAGCUUCAAGCGAUUCUCCUGCCUCAGCUUCCUGAGUAGCUGGGAUUACAGGUAUGCACCACCACACCCAGUUAAUUUUUGUAUUUUUAGUAGAUACGGGGUUUCACCAUGCUGGUCAGGCUGACCUUGAACACCUGACCUUGUGAUCCACUUGCCUCAGCCUCCCAAAGUGCUGGGAUUACAGGCAUGAGCCACCGCACUGAGCCAAGAUGCUGAUACAUUUCCCAACCCAGGUUGCAGGCAGGUGAGGGCACUUCUACCUAUACACAGCUGAUUAAAGAGAUGUUGAACCUCAUACCUGGGCUCAGGACCACAGGUACAAGCAUGGGUCUUCACACCAGCAGAAUAUCUCAGAGCAUGUGGUGACUCUCCAGCAUAACGUACAAAGGUCUCAGGUGGGACAGAGAGUGUCCUAACAGGAUCCAGAACGUAGAAAAGAUGUUGACGCUCCUAUGCACACCCAGUCCACAGUAAAAUAUGUCAUUUUCCCACAUAAUCACAGCCCGAUGUUGAGAUUCUGAAUCUCACACCUGAAAGAAGCUGAAAGAUGGAAAAUUGACUCUCAUACAUGGAUCUGAUCUACAGGUAGGUUGGUGACACUAAGACCAAAAUUAAGCACACCCAUGAGACUAUGACUUUUCUAAAAAGACACAGUUCACAGGAGCAAUUGAUGCUGUCAUGAACAAAUCCAGUCCAUGCUGAGAUUCUAACUCAUGUACUUAGACCCAACAUACGGAAGGUGUUGACUCUAAUGACUGGAACUAGGAUAUCUGUUAUAUUAUUAAUCUCAUCCCUGAAAUUUUCUGCAGGUGUCAUUGGGACAUACACCUGUGCCCAACAGCUGAGUGACGUGACUCUCUUGCUUGGACACAGCUCACAAGGGCCAUUGUAAAAUACUGCUGAUCCUAUUACCCAGGUGAUGUGAGUUCCCUCUCCUGCUUUGGCACUGCCCAUAGGGAACAUUAUGACAUAUGACUGGGACCUGCACCCAGGUUAUGUGACUCAUCUGUUUGUGCUCUGCCCACGUAAGAUAUUGUAACAUAUUGCCAGUCCAAUAUCCAGGUGAUUUAACUUUCCUGCCUGUGCCCUGCCUAUAGAGAGCAUUGGGACAUAUCUCUUCACCCAUCUUUCAGGUGACGGGACUCUAUGUUUCUGCCUGGUCCCUGCUUACAAGGGAAAUUGUGACAUCUCACUGGGCCUAGCACCUAGCAGAUGUCUUUUCCCUUCUGCCAGAGUUCUGCCCAAAGAGGAGAUUGUGACAUAUGGCUGGUCCCAACAUCACGGUGACAUGGCUGUUUUGCCUUGGCCCUGACCUCAGAAGACAUUGUGAUAUAUUGCUUGACUUAGCAUCAAAAUAAUGUGAGUCUCCUGCCC
RNAcentral lists this long non-coding RNA (2153 nucleotides) under Macaca fascicularis (crab-eating macaque). Its description in RNAcentral is "lncRNA (ENSMFAG00000051306.1)". Lineage: Eukaryota; Metazoa; Chordata; Mammalia; Primates; Cercopithecidae. The record is from RNAcentral.